Molecule: ribosomal RNA, 253 nt
Filed under: uncultured bacterium
Lineage: Bacteria
Description: partial 16S ribosomal RNA
Rfam family: Bacterial small subunit ribosomal RNA
Source: RNAcentral
UACGGGGGGUGCAAGCGUUGUUCGGAAUUAUUGGGCGUAAAGAGCGUGUAGGCGGUUUGUUAAGUCUGAUGUGAAAGCCCUGGGCUCAACCCAGGAAGUGCAUUGGAAACUGGCAGACUUGAAUACGGGAGAGGGCAGUGGAAUUCCUAGUGUAGGAGUGAAAUCCGUAGAUAUUAGGAGGAACACCGGUGGCGAAGGCGGCUGCCUGGACCGAUAUUGACGCUGAGACGCGAAAGCGUGGGUAGCAAACAGG